GGGCGCGGGGCGGGCGGGCUAUGGAGGCGGGGUUAGGGGCUCGGCCCCACCCGCUACCCAGGGGGCGGGGAAGAGACCUCCGGCUCCAUCGCGAGCAGACUCGGGGAGGACAGUGCAGAUACCCGGCGCAGACCCAAGGAACAGCCCCGAUCGCCCACUCGGCUGCAGGGGUCCCCGGGGCAGGUGCAGCAAGCCGGGACCCGCCCUAGAUGCGCUGGGAACCUUCGGCCUCCCGGCCGCGGAGCCAGGCGCUGGACGCGCCGCCCCUCCAAGGUGCGGCUGGUGCCUCCGGCGCGGGCGCUGGGCCUUUGCGAAGUUCUCCCGGAUCUCUGGCAGGGACCACCUGUGUGGAUGGAAGGUGGAGCGACCCCUUGGCUCCGUCCCUACAACUAUGGGGUCCCGCUCCCAAUGUGGGGCUGGCUGUCCAAGACCCGAAAUCCCAGUUUUGAGCGCCUCGUCCCAGCCACGAGGUCCCCAGAGCCUAUCUUGAACUCCGAGGAAUGCACAUUCACAGCCCGAGACUCUUGUCGGAGCUGGGACCACCCUGAGGCCACCAGAAAUCGAUUCUAA
This 570-nucleotide long non-coding RNA is filed under the name Microcebus murinus (gray mouse lemur). RNAcentral describes it as "lncRNA (ENSMICG00000048663.1)". Lineage: Eukaryota; Metazoa; Chordata; Mammalia; Primates; Cheirogaleidae. The record is from RNAcentral.